This 253-nucleotide ribosomal RNA is filed under the name uncultured bacterium. RNAcentral describes it as "partial 16S ribosomal RNA". It matches the Rfam family "Bacterial small subunit ribosomal RNA", at positions 524 to 776 of the family's 1533-position model. The record is from RNAcentral.
UACGGAGGGGGCUAGCGUUAUUCGGAAUUACUGGGCGUAAAGCGCACGUAGGCGGCUUUGUAAGUCAGAGGUGAAAGCCUGGAGCUCAACUCCAGAACUGCCUUUGAGACUGCAUCGCUUGAAUCCAGGAGGGGUGAGUGGAAUUCCGAGUGUAGAGGUGAAAUUCGUAGAUAUUCGGAAGAACACCAGUGGCGAAGGCGGCUCACUGGACUGGUAUUGACGCUGAGGUGCGAAAGCGUGGGGAGCAAACAGG